UGGGGAAUUUUGGACAAUGGGGGCAACCCUGAUCCAGCAAUGCCGCGUGUGUGAAGAAGGCCUUCGGGUUGUAAAGCACUUUUGUCCGGAAAGAAAACGUCGUGGUUAAUACCCGUGGCGGCUGACGGUACCAGAAGAAUAAGCACCGGCUAACUACGUGCCAGCAGCCGCGGUAAUACGUAGGGUGCAAGCGUUAAUCGGAAUUACUGGGCGUAAAGCGUGCGCAGGCGGUCCGCUAAGACAGAUGUGAAAUCCCCGGCUUAACCUGGGAACUGCAUUUGUGACUGGCGGGCUAGAGUAUGGCAGAGGGGGUAGAAUUCCACGUGUAGCAGUGAAAUGCGUAGAGAUGUGGAGGAAUACCGAUGGCGAAGGCAGCCCCCUGGGCCAAUACUGACGCUCAUGCACGAAAGCGUGGGGAGCAAACAGGAUUAGAUACCCCUGGUAGUCCACGCCCUAAACGAUGUCAACUAGUCGUCGGGUCUUCAUUGACUUGGUAACGUAGCUAACGCGUGAAGUUGACCGCCUGGGGAGUACGGUCGCAAGAUUAAAAACUCAAAAGGAUUGNCGGGGUCAUGCUGUUUCCUG
Molecule: ribosomal RNA, 585 nt
Filed under: uncultured bacterium
Lineage: Bacteria
Description: partial 16S ribosomal RNA
Rfam family: Bacterial small subunit ribosomal RNA
Source: RNAcentral